GAGUUCGAUCAUACUAGCACUAAUGCACCGGAUCCCAUCAGAACUCCGCAGUUUAAGCGUGCUUGGGCGAGAGUAGUAC
RNAcentral lists this ribosomal RNA (79 nucleotides) under Gossypium arboreum. The record is from RNAcentral. Lineage: Eukaryota; Viridiplantae; Streptophyta; Magnoliopsida; Malvales; Malvaceae.